This 1059-nucleotide ribosomal RNA is filed under the name uncultured bacterium. RNAcentral describes it as "bacterial SSU rRNA". It matches the Rfam family "Bacterial small subunit ribosomal RNA", at positions 48 to 1028 of the family's 1533-position model. The record is from RNAcentral.
GCUACCAUGCAAGUCGAGGGGCAGCGCGGGUAGCAAUACCCGGCGGCGACCGGCGCACGGGUGCGUAACACGUAUGCAAUCUGCCCUGUACAGGAGAAUAACCCGGAGAAAUCCGGCCUAAUGCUCCAUGGCGCGUAGGAGCGGCAUCGCCCCCACGCUAAAGAGUCAUCGGUACAGGAUGAGCAUGCGCCCUAUUAGCUAGUUGGCGGGGUAACAGCCCACCAAGGCCACGAUAGGUAGGGGUUCUGAGAGGAAGGCCCCCCACACUGGUACUGAGACACGGACCAGACUCCUACGGGAGGCAGCAGUGAGGAAUAUUGGUCAAUGGGCGCAAGCCUGAACCAGCCAUGCCGCGUGCAGGACGACGGCCCUACGGGUUGUAAACUGCUUUUGCACGGGAGCAAACCCGGCCCUGCGGGGCCGGUUGAGAGUACCGUGCGAAUAAGGAUCGGCUAACUCCGUGCCAGCAGCCGCGGUAAUACGGAGGAUCCGAGCGUUAUCCGGAUUCAUUGGGUUUAAAGGGUGCGUAGGCGGCUUGGUAAGUCAGCGGUGAAAGGCUGGGGCUCAACCUCAGCAGCGCCGUUGAUACUGCCGAGCUUGAGUACGGAUGAAGCUGGCGGAAUGCGCAGUGUAGCGGUGAAAUGCAUAGAUAUUGCGCAGAAGGCCAAUUGCGAAGGCAGCUGGCUAAUCCGGAACUGACGCUCAGGCACGAAAGCGUGGGGAUCAAACAGGAUUAGAUACCCUGGUAGUCCACGCCGUAAACGAUGAUAGCUCGCUGCCGGCGAUACACAGUCGGUGGCCCAGCGAAAGCGGUAAGCUAUCCACCUGGGGGAGUACGUUCGCAAAGAAUGAAACUCAAAGGAAUUGACGGGGGCCCCGCACAANCGGAAGNAACAUGUGGUUUUAAUUUCGAUGAUACCCCGANGNACCNUUACCCCGGGCNUCGAAACGGCANGGGGAAAUUACCGGAAUGAAAANUUUCCUUAANCCCNGCCAAUUGGNCCCCCUNUUCCNAAGGGUGCCUUCCAUUGGNUUNUUCCCUUCAANCCUUCGGNGGCC